This 248-nucleotide unclassified non-coding RNA is filed under the name Hevea brasiliensis (rubber tree). Lineage: Eukaryota; Viridiplantae; Streptophyta; Magnoliopsida; Malpighiales; Euphorbiaceae. The record is from RNAcentral.
GAGGUGCUCUUCGGGUACCCCGACCAUCUCUAGCUGCUUUUGUGGGUCUCUUAUCUUCUGAAUCUGCUCCAAAUCAAAUGGCACGCCCAGCUUGUUGAAGCAGGAAAUGACAGCUUUGGCGGUGCCUGAUGUAUCCAGUUUGGUUGCUUGAUGUGAUUCCAUUACCUGCAACGUAUAUCCUGAAAAGGCCCCGGGAAACUGAUCGGCCAUAAUCUCCAUUGCAGCUAGAAAUGCAACCACCUGUUUUC